GAUGAAGAACGUAGCGAAAUGCGAUACGUAAUGUGAAUUGCAGAAUUCAGUGAAUCAUCGAAUCUUUGAACGCAUAUUGCGCUCUCUGGUAUUCCGGAGAGCAUGCUUGUUUGAGUAUCAGUAAACACCUCAACUUCCAUAUCUUUUUUGAAAUGGGAGUUGGACUUGAGUGAUCCCAACGCUUUUCCUCACCGAAAAGUGGCGGGUUACUUGAAAUGCAGGUGCAGCUGGACUUUUCUCUGAGCUAUAAGCAUAUCUAUUUAGUCUGCCUAAAAAACAGAUUAUUACCUUUGCUGCAGCUAACAUAAAGGAGAUUAGUUCUUGUGCUGACUGAUGCAGGAUUCACAAAGACAGGCUUCGGCCGACUUUGUAAACUCGAUCUCAAAUCAAGUAAGACUACCCGCUGAACUUAAGCAUAUCAUAAGCGGAGGA
Molecule: unclassified non-coding RNA, 432 nt
Filed under: soil metagenome
Description: partial contains 5.8S ribosomal RNA, internal transcribed spacer 2, and large subunit ribosomal RNA
Rfam family: 5.8S ribosomal RNA (bases 1-120)
Source: RNAcentral